GACGAACGCUGGCGGCGUGCUUAACACAUGCAAGUCGAGCGGUAAGGCCCCUUCGGGGGUACACGAGCGGCGAACGGGUGAGUAACACGUGGGUGACCUGCCCUCAGCUCUGGGAUAAGCCUGGGAAACUGGGUCUAAUACCGGAUAUGACUCCAUGACGCAUGUCGUGGGGUGGAAAGCCUUGUGCGGCUGAGGAUGGGGCCCGCGGCCUAUUAGCUUGUUGGUGGGGUGAUGGCCUACCAAGGCGACGACGGGUAGCCGGCCUGAGAGGGCGACCGGCCACACUGGGACUGAGACACGGCCCAGACUCCUACGGGAGGCAGCAGUGGGGAAUCUUGCGCAAUGGGCGAAAGCCUGACGCAGCGACGCCGCGUGAGGGAUGAC
Molecule: ribosomal RNA, 384 nt
Filed under: uncultured bacterium
Lineage: Bacteria
Description: bacterial SSU rRNA
Rfam family: Bacterial small subunit ribosomal RNA
Source: RNAcentral